Molecule: long non-coding RNA, 568 nt
Organism: Medicago truncatula (barrel medic)
Lineage: Eukaryota; Viridiplantae; Streptophyta; Magnoliopsida; Fabales; Fabaceae
Exons: 3
Source: RefSeq, a predicted model, not a curated record
CCAAAAAAAAAAAAAAAACGCAUAAGCUGAUCGAACCCUUUCUCUUUCAUCUGAGAAUGCGAUCUCUAUUCUUCUCCCAACCAAAGCAAGCGACCAAACAUUACAUCCACCACCACACCACCGCUGGUGAGCCGCGACCACUCUCCUCCUUCUCCAUCCAUCACUGCUGCAUACUCCUCCAUCUUCUGUUUCGAUUCUUCAGUUUAGAGACAUCUCUCUCCACAACAAACCCUAAUUGUUGUAACUUAAGCCAUUCGAAAAUCUCAAGAGCUUCAACAGCGUUGAACCCAUUCAAAAAUCUGGUGCUUAAGUCUUCUUCCAAAUCUCACCACCAUGAAUAAUGAUGAUAUCAAUGAAGAAUUUGAAGAUUUGGAAGCAUAAGAUGAAAAGAUAUAGAUGUGUGUUUAUAUAUAUAUAUAUAUAUAUAUAUAUAUAUAUAUAUAUAUAUAUUUUAAAGAUGUUAAUUGUGAUCAAAGAUAAUCUUAAUCUAUUCAUUAAAGAUUAACAAAACAAUAUAUUUAACAAGUAUUUCAUUUUGUUAUAUAGUUGUUUAAUUCGAGAUAUUACA